This 67-nucleotide transfer RNA is filed under the name Dipodomys ordii (Ord's kangaroo rat). It matches the Rfam family "tRNA". Rfam says of the family: Transfer RNA (tRNA) molecules are approximately 80 nucleotides in length. Their secondary structure includes four short double-helical elements and three loops (D, anti-codon, and T loops). Further hydrogen bonds mediate the characteristic L-shaped molecular structure. tRNAs have two regions of fundamental functional importance: the anti-codon, which is responsible for specific mRNA codon recognition, and the 3' end, to which the tRNAs corresponding amino acid is attached (by aminoacyl-tRNA synthetases). tRNAs cope with the degeneracy of the genetic code in two manners: having more than one tRNA (with a specific anti-codon) for a particular amino acid; and 'wobble' base-pairing, i.e. permitting non-standard base-pairing at the 3rd anti-codon position. The record is from Rfam by way of RNAcentral. Lineage: Eukaryota; Metazoa; Chordata; Mammalia; Rodentia; Heteromyidae.
GGUGGCUCAGUGGUAGAGCGCUUGCCUUUCAUGCAUUUGAGGCCCUGGGUUCGAUUCCUCAGCACCA